This 73-nucleotide transfer RNA is filed under the name Felis catus (domestic cat). It matches the Rfam family "tRNA". From Rfam's summary of the family: Transfer RNA (tRNA) molecules are approximately 80 nucleotides in length. Their secondary structure includes four short double-helical elements and three loops (D, anti-codon, and T loops). Lineage: Eukaryota; Metazoa; Chordata; Mammalia; Carnivora; Felidae. The record is from Rfam by way of RNAcentral.
GCCUGGCUGGCUCAGUCAGUAGAGCAUGUGACUCUUAAUUUCAAGGUUGUGAGUUCAAGCCCCACAUUGGGUC